RNAcentral lists this ribosomal RNA (253 nucleotides) under uncultured bacterium. RNAcentral describes it as "partial 16S ribosomal RNA". It matches the Rfam family "Bacterial small subunit ribosomal RNA", at positions 524 to 776 of the family's 1533-position model. The record is from RNAcentral.
GACGAACCGUGCGAACGUUGUUCGGAAUCAUUGGGCGUAAAGCGCGCGUAGGUGGCCUCAUAAGUCCGCUGUGAAAGUCAAAGGCUCAACCUUUGAAAGCCGGUGGAUACUGUGAGGCUAGAGUACGGAAGAGGCGAGUGGAAUUCCUGGUGUAGCGGUGGAAUGCGCAGAUAUCAGGAGGAACACCAAUAGCGAAGGCAGCUCGCUGGGACGUUACUGACACUGAGGCGCGAAAGCGUGGGGAGCGAACAGG